UACGUAGGGUGCAAGCGUUUAAUCGGAAUUACUGGGCGUAAAGCGUGCGCAGGCGGUGAUGUAAGACAGAUGUGAAAUCCCCGGGCUCAACCUGGGAACUGCAUUUGUGACUGCAUCGCUGGAGUACGGCAGAGGGGGAUGGAAUUCCGCGUGUAGCAGGUGAAAUGCGUAGAUAUGUGGAGGAACACCGAUGGCGAAGGCAGCCCCCUGGGUCAAAACUGAACGCUCGAUGCACGAAAGCGUGGGGAGCAAACAGG
This 257-nucleotide ribosomal RNA is filed under the name uncultured bacterium. RNAcentral describes it as "partial 16S ribosomal RNA". It matches the Rfam family "Bacterial small subunit ribosomal RNA", at positions 524 to 776 of the family's 1533-position model. The record is from RNAcentral.